This 114-nucleotide ribosomal RNA is filed under the name uncultured eukaryote. RNAcentral's name for it is "partial small subunit ribosomal RNA". It matches the Rfam family "Bacterial small subunit ribosomal RNA", at positions 1412 to 1525 of the family's 1533-position model. The record is from RNAcentral.
AAAGGAUACCAGAAGUAGCUAGGCUAACCGCAAGGGGGCCGGUUACCACGGUAUGUUUCAUGACUGGGGUGAAGUCGUAACAAGGUAGCAGUAGGUGAACCUGCAGAAGGAUCA